GAUCAUGGCUCAGGACGAACGCUGGCGGCGCGCCUAACACAUGCAAGUCGAACGGAGCUAUUUCGAUAGAUCUCUUCGGAGUGACAUUGGCUUAGCUUAGUGGCGAACGGGUGAGUAACACGUGAGGAACCUGCCUUUCAGAGGGGGACAACAGUUGGAAACGACUGCUAAUACCGCAUAAGACCACGAUACGGCAUCGUAUUGAGGUCAAAGGAGCAAUCCG
This 223-nucleotide ribosomal RNA is filed under the name uncultured bacterium. Its description in RNAcentral is "partial 16S ribosomal RNA". It matches the Rfam family "Bacterial small subunit ribosomal RNA", at positions 15 to 217 of the family's 1533-position model. The record is from RNAcentral.